UACGUAGGUGGCAAGCGUUGUCCGGAUUUACUGGGCGUAAAGAGCGCGCAGGCGGUCGUUCAAGUCGCGUGUGAAAGCCCCCGGCUCAACUGGGGAGGGUCAUUCGAUACUGAUCGACUCGAAGGCAGGAGAGGGUAGUGGAAUUCCCGGUGUAGUGGUGAAAUGCGUAGAUAUCGGGAGGAACACCAGUGGCGAAGGCGACUACCUGGCCUGUUCUUGACGCUGAGGCGCGAAAGCUAGGGGAGCAAACGGG
This 253-nucleotide ribosomal RNA is filed under the name uncultured bacterium. RNAcentral describes it as "partial 16S ribosomal RNA". It matches the Rfam family "Bacterial small subunit ribosomal RNA", at positions 524 to 776 of the family's 1533-position model. The record is from RNAcentral.